AGCGGCGGACGGGUGAGUAACGCGUGGGUAACCUGCCCUACACACACGGAUAACAUACCGAAAGGUAUGCUAAUACGAGAUGAUAUAAGAGAUUCGCAUGGAUUUCUUAUCAAAGCUGAGGCGGUAUAGGAUGGACCCGCGUCUGAUUAGCUAGUUGGUAAGGUAACGGCUUACCAAGGCGACGAUCAGUAGCCGACCUGAGAGAGUGAUCGGCCACAUUGGAACUGAGACACGGUCCAAACUCCUACGGGAGGCAGCAGUGGGGAAUAUUGCACAAUGGGCGAAAGCCUGAUGCAGCAACGCCGCGUGAGUGAUGAAGGCCUUCGGGUCGUAAAACUCUGUCCUCAAGGAAGAUAAUGACGGUACUUGAGGAGGAAGCCCCGGCUAACUACGUGCCAGCAGCCGCGGUAAUACGUAGGGGGCUAGCGUUAUCCGGAUUUACUGGGCGUAAAGGGUGCGUAGGUGGUCUCUUAAGUCAGGAGUGAAAGGCUACGGCUUAACCGUAGUAAGCUCUUGAAACUGAGAGACUUGAGUGCAGGAGAGGAAAGUGGAAUUCCUAGUGUAGCGGUGAAAUGCGUAGAUAUUAGGAGGAACACCGGUAGCGAAGGCGGCUUUCUGGACUGUAACUGACACUGAGGCACGAAAGCGUGGGGAGCAAACAGGAUUAGAUACCCUGGUAGUCCACGCCGUAAACGAUGAGUACUAGGUGU
Molecule: ribosomal RNA, 710 nt
Filed under: uncultured bacterium
Lineage: Bacteria
Description: bacterial SSU rRNA
Rfam family: Bacterial small subunit ribosomal RNA
Source: RNAcentral